GACUUCCUACGGGACGCAGCAGUGGGGAAUAUUGCACAAUGGGCGAAAGCCUGAUGCAGCAACGCCGCGUGAGCGAUGAAGGCCUUCGGGUCGUAAAGCUCUGUCCUCAAGGAAGAUAAUGACGGUACUUGAGGAGGAAGCCCCGGCGAACUACGUGCCAGCAGCCGCGGUAAUACGUAGGGGGCUAGCGUUAUCCGGAAUUACUGGGCGUAAAGGGUGCGUAGGUGGAUUCUUAAGUCAGAGGGGAA
Molecule: ribosomal RNA, 248 nt
Filed under: uncultured bacterium
Lineage: Bacteria
Description: partial 16S ribosomal RNA
Rfam family: Bacterial small subunit ribosomal RNA
Source: RNAcentral